This 2811-nucleotide long non-coding RNA is filed under the name Homo sapiens (human). Its description in RNAcentral is "HSALNT0276738". Lineage: Eukaryota; Metazoa; Chordata; Mammalia; Primates; Hominidae. The record is from RNAcentral.
CUGCGCCGCCGCUGCCAACCCGGAAGGAGCCCGGAGGGGCCCGGGCGGCCAGGGCGCCCCCGCCAGGAGGCCCGCCAGGUGUCCACCUGAGCCCCACGCCCUGCGCCGCGGGGCCCUUUUGGGGGCGGGGUGCCAGCUCCGAGGUGUCCUCCCACGGGCUGUAGACUGGGAAACUGAGGCCCGGGCCACGGUCCCAGACGCAGCCGGGACCCGAACCCACCUCACCUGAGCGAAUGAUAUCCGGGACUCAUCCUUUUUCGACACCUUUGCGGGAUCCAGCCCUCCAAGGAAAGCUUCCUGAGCAGUGCGCGCCACGUGUAUUGGGCACCUCACCGCGGCCACUUCACAUCCUAUCUCAGGUGGAGAAACUAAGCCACAGAAAGGAGCUGUCAUUUACCUAAAGCACCGUGGCAGGGGUUUGGCAGAGCCAGGAUUUGUACCCAGAUCGCCUGACUUCGGAGAGUAACAGCUCUUAACCACAGCACUUCGGUCUAUGCCUUGAUUUCACCAUAUGUAACAAGGGACAAGAGCUUGCCGUGUUGCCCCAGGCUGGUCUCAAACUCCUAGCCUCAAGCAAACUUCCUGUCUCGGCCUUUCAAAACCCUGAGAUUACAAGCAUAAGAAAAGAAAAUCUUGUAAGAUGAAAGCUGAAGGAUGAGAGCAAUUAAUUGAUGAAGUAUGAUGAUCCAGGUGUCCCUGGGUGAAGAAACAACCUCUACAAAGGCCCUGAGAGAUGGGGUCUCCCUAUGCUUCCCAGGCUGGUCUCGAACUCCUGGACUCAAGCAAUCCUCCUGUCUUGACCUCCCAAAGUGCUGGGAUUACAGGCGUGAGCCGCCUCACCUGGCCUAUAGAAUUUUAUACAAAUGAAAUCAUACUGGUCUCGCUCAUCACCAGGCUGGAGUACAGUGACAUGAUCAUGGCUCACUGCAGCCUCAACCUCCCGGGUUCAGGCUAUCCUCCCACCUCAGCCUCCCAGGACCACAGGCGUGUGCCACCAUGCCCAGCUAAUUUUUUGUAGAGAUGGGGUUAUGCCAUGUUGCCCAGGCUGGUCUCGAGCUGCUGGGCACAAGCAAUCUACCCAUCUCAGUCUCCCAAAGUGCUGGCAUUAUAGUCGUGAGCCACUGUGCCCAGCCAACAGCGUCUUUCAAAGAGCAGAGAGAGGUUAAUUUUGAUGAUGUCCAGUUUGCACCUUUGUUGAAAAUUGACCAUAUAUCUGUGAGUCUGUUUCUAGACUCUUUGUUCUGCUUUAUUAAACUACUUGUCUAUUUGUACACCAAUGCCACACUGUCUUCAUUGCUGUGCCUUUGUAAUAAGUUUUAAAGUUAGGUCAUUUAAGUCCUUUAAUUUUGUUCCUCUUUUUCAAAGUUGUUUUGACUAUUCUAAGCUUUUGCAUUUCCAAUACAUUUUGUAAUCAGCUUGUAAAUUUCUACCAAAAAAGCCUGCUGAGACUUUGACUGAAAUUAUGUUGAGUUUGUAGAUUAAUUUGGGAAGAAUUGACAUAUUGACAGUAUCGAGUCUCUCAACCCAUGAACAUGGUAUACCUCUCCAUUUAUUUAGACCUUUAGAGCUUUUUCUCAGAAACAUUUUGUAGCUUUUUUUUUUUUUUUUUGAGACGGAGUCUUGCCCUGUCACCCAGGCUGGAGUGCAGUGGCACGAUUUUGGCUCACUAUAACCUCUGCCUCCCGGGUUCACGCGGUUCUCCUGCCUCAGCCUCCCAGGUUCACGCGGUUCUCCUGCCUCAGCCUCCUGAGUAGCUGGGAUUACAGGCAGGCGCCACCAUGCCCGGCUAAUUUUUGUAUUUUUAGUGGAGACGGGGUUUCACCAUCUUGGCCAGGAUGGUCUCGAUCUCUUGACCUCGUGAUCCGCCCGCCUCAGCCUCCCAAAGUGCUGGGAUUACAGGCAUGAGCCACCACGCCCAGCUUGUUUUGUAGCUUUAAUUGUAUAGGCCUAACAUACUUUUUUGUUCUGUUUAGUCUAUUUCAUAUUUUUAUGCUACCGUAAAUAGUAUUUUUUAAAAUUUCAAUGUCCAGGUGUUUUUUGCUAGUAAUAUAUUUUUUAUGUUGAUCUUGUAUCUUUCAACCUUAUUAUACUCAUUUAUUAGUUCCAGCAGCUUUUUUGCAAAUUCCAUCAGAUUUUUAACUUAGAUGAACAUUUUUUUUUUUGCAAAUAAAGGCAACUUUUCUUCUUUAUAUCAAAUCUGAAUUUUUUUUAUUUCCUUUUCUUGUCUGAUUAUAUGGGCUAGAAUCUCCAAUACAAUGUUGAAUAGAAGUGGUGAGAGUAGACAGACCUGUCUUGUUCAUGAUCUUAGGGGAAAAACAUUAAUGAACCCUAAUGUUCAUUAUAGGGUUUUGUUUGGUAGAUGCCUUUUAUUAGGUAAGAAGAUUCCCUUCUAUUCCUGGCUUGCUUAAUUUUUUUUUUAACAAUCAGGAACGAAUCUUGGAUUUUGCCAAAUGUUUUUUCUGCCUUUAAUGAAAUGAUCUGAUCAUUUUAAUUGUUUAGUCUGUUAAUACAGUGAAUUACACUGAUUGAUUUUCCAGUGUUAAAGCCACUUUGCAGUCCUAGGAGAAAUCCCACUGGUUGUGAUGUACAGUUGUCUUCCCUUAUCCAUGGGGGAUGUGUUCCAAGACCCCUAGUGAAUGCCUGAAACCUCAGAUAGUACCAAACCCUAUAUACACUAUGUUUUUUCCUGUACAGACAUACCUAUGAUAAAGCCUAAUUUAUAAAUUAGGCACAGUAAGAUAUUAACAAUAACUAAUAAUAAAAUAGAACAAUUAUAACAAUAUACUGUAAUAAAAGUUAUAUGAAUGUGGU